CUUGGGUCCCUGCCCAGAGACUCCAGCCCUACGUCCCCCCCCGGACCCCCCCGGGGGGCCCGCGGGCUCGGGGAGUCCGGCCAGAGGCCUGUGACCCGUCGGCGGUGACACGUCCACCCUGUGGACCACGGGGUCAGGCGCGCCUCCCCAAGACUCACAACGACGAGAACUACGUCUAAGAGCGCAGCUCACCUGCACACUUCACGUUCCGACUUUCAGGCGCCGUGACCCGCCGUCCGACCUCGGGCAAGUUACUCAGACUCGUCUGCCAGGGCCGCGUGGACGCCCGCCGCCCCUGCCCGUGCAGGGCUCUGCGGGGUGAGGGCCCGUGCGCGCUCGUGCCCGGCGCACAGGGACCCCGCGCGCACGCGCUGGAGAGAGCGCGCAGAGAGGGGGACGGAGUGGGGGUGCACCGGGACCCCUCCAGUGCAGGGGGCAGCGCACAGCUGAGUGCAGGGAGACUUGAGUCCCGCCUCUGGCUCUGUUCAGCCUGCAGCAGGUUCAACUCUGGCCUCAGUUGGCUCAUCUGCAAAACAGGGGUAAGAAUCAGGCCUCCUCGGACAUUUCCAUGACAGUCAGGGGAUGCCUGGCACACACGUGGUGAUCAACCCGGUAUUUUCCCACCCAGCCGGACCGUCAGCAUUCCUCGGGUCUCGGCCAGCUUCUCCUCUGGUCUGCUGUGCUCCUCCCUGGAUCAGCCUCAGUGAUCUUCAUGGUUCAAAGCCCGCGUCUGUCCACAGCCAGUCCCGCGUCGCCACCUCCCGGCCCCCCUGCCGGGUCAUCACCUCUAAGACAGCUCUGCCUUUUCAAUAAGGUCUGUGGUAAAGUGUGGAUCAAAUAACGUGCAGUUAGGACAGAGUAUUAAAACCGUGAGUGACUGAUGGAAGCAAAGAGGAGGAGGGGGUGGGGGAGGGGGAAGAGGGGAGAGGAGGGGGAGGGGAGGGGAGGGGAACAGAAGAAGAGGAAGGCAGAAGGCAGAGUGUGUUAGGGCGGAUUCAGGGGGGUGUCUGCUGUAACCACUCAAGGGACACAGCUGAGAGGGGCUGUGAGUCAGCAGCGGGGGUGAUGUCACAAGGCGUCCUCGGGGCUCCCUGGGGAAUGGCGCAGUGAGCACAGAGCCAGGGAGGCUGUCCUGCUCUCGGAGGGAGGGGAUCCCGGGACAGGAGGGUCCGAAGCAGACGAGGCCCCGAGGUGUCAGGGGCUCGGCCUUGCCCGGCCUCCUGGCUGUCACCCUCAGGUAGGUUCCAGGGACGGGAAAGGAGGGGACAGCUCCAGCUGGGUUCUGGGCCCUGGCCGGUUCCGGGGUGCUGGGGCUGCAGGGCAGGGCGCCGCGUGCCCGGGCUGGCCCUGCGCUCUGUCCGCAGGACCGGACUGUCGUGCUGUGCGCGGCCCGGCCACACCCAGCCCGACGGCGGGCUCAGAAUCGGUGCUCCGUAACACGGAAAGGCCAAAGCGGCUCUCCGUUCGGAAGAAACCAUUCGAAGUAACCUGAAGAUUCCCUGCAUUUUCUUUCCUCUCUCCCUCUCGAGGAGGAGGGCGUGCUGAUGAGCACGGACGGACGUUCCAAGGUCCACAGACAAGAACCGGGAGGAGGGACCGCCGCCCCAGUCCUCACACGCCCUCGCGGUUUGCUCGUGCCAUUUGCACGGCCGUCCCUUUUCCAUCUUUGUGAACUUCAAACAGAAGCCAAGUUUUCCCUCUUUCCCCGUGUGUUUCCCGGAGCGCUUCUCCACGUGGCCAGAGAGGUUCCCUCGCUAUCAUCUGAGUGGCCGAGGCGGUUCCCGUGCUGGCACUGCGUUUCCCUGCUCCAGCACCACUGUCGGAGGGGGACCCCGGGCCGGAGGGUGUGGACGCCAGCUUCAGCCCCUCCACGGCCGGGGCCCGCGUGAGCCUCUGUGGCGCCAAACUCGGGGCCUCCCUCGGAGGCGAGCCACCCCGCCGGCCUCCGCACACAGGAGGCCUCUCCCCCGUGUGGUUUGCAAGAGCGGCGGGAAGGGGCUUGAAUCUGGUGGGGCUGCCGGCUGCCCGAUGGGCAGGAGGCGGACGCUGCCCCCACCGGGAUGACACCGGGUGGGGGGCGUCCCCGCAGCACGCAGGAGUCCCAUCCGGGUCCUUCCACCCACCCUGCAAAUGUCACUGUCCCUUGAAUUGCUGGAGUCAGGUUCCCAAGGUGCCUUGGAUGGGGAGCUCCUUUGACGGGACAAUGUCACUCGGGUUGGCAUAGGACAUACGCUCCUCUGAGGACAGAACGUAGAGGCACGCGCCAAGCACAAGGUGUCCUCCCUACAAGGCCGCCGCAGGGUCUCAGGUUCUACCGGAUCCCUGUUGUGAUGGCACGGCGCCUCGCAGCCCCCUGGGGACUGAAGCCGGAUGGAAGCCCCACAGACACCAGCGGCAGGGUGGGCAGAGGGGCCAGUACCACCCGCUGACCUGCUGAGACGCUGUAGCACACGGAGCUCUCCCUGAGCCCAGCUCCCCUCGGUCCACAGGGCUGCUCGCAAACACCCCCGCCCCUCUCCUCAGAGUCCCCAGGACCGAAGCCUCAAGGUCAGGGCGCUUUCUCUCCCCUCGGGUUUCGGGAUCAGGAGCUCUCCUGCCACUCUGCCACUUGCCUCCCUGGCCUUGGAUCCCCUCCCCCAUCCCUCUGUGCCCGACAGGCCAGGGAAGUCCCAAAGCCUCACGUGCACCUUGGCUGGGCUCUCUUUUGAGGGGCGCGGGCCUCCUCGGGGCUCUCCUCCUGCUUGUGCACCGAGGAGCCCAGAGCAGCCCGGGACGCCAUCACUGGGCCAGACCAUCCCUGUCUAACGGUAUGUCCCGCAGCGAUGGAGGUGUUCUAGAUGUGUGCUAUCCCAUCAGAGCCACCGGAGCAUCUGAAGUGUGAUCAGCGAGCGACCAACCCGUCUGCAUUUGUUAUAGCCGCUGAACCAGUGUUGACCCAUCAUCGUCAACCGAAGCCCGUGAUUUACGUCAUGGUUCUACACUGUGUUGUGCGGUUGUGAGUGUGGACAAAUCCGUGUCAUUGAUCCACCGUUAUGGUAUCAUCCAGACGGAGGAGGUUCACCGCCCUACAAAUCAGUGCUGCCACGAUUCGCCCUCCCGUGCUCCACCCGCACCCAGAACCACCACUCUGUGUACUGUCACUGUAAUUCUGCCUUUUCCAGAAGGUCAUACGGUUGCCGUCUUUUUAGACCGGCUUCUUCCAACUUCCCAAUUUACACUGAAGGUACCUCUGUGUCUUUGUGCCUUCGUAGCUCACUUCUUGUAACCGUUGAAUGUCGACCCACGGUGUCGAUCCAUUCACCUACUGAAAGACAUCUGGGUUGCUUCCAAUCUGGGGCAGUUAUGAGUAAAGCUACUGAAACAUUCAUGUACGGGUUUCGUGUGAACAUACUUUUCAAGUCAUGUGGAUAAAAACCUAGGAGUGCAAUCGCUGGCUUGUAGGGUUAAGACUCUCUUUAGAAACCCCCGAACUGUCUUUUAAGAAACUGUCCAACUGUCUUUUGUUGUUGUUGUUGUUAAGAUUUUAUUUUUAGCAACACUCAGCGUGGGGCUCGAACCCACAACCCCGAGAGAUCAAGGGUCACACGCUCCAUUCACUGAGCCAGCCAGCCAGGUGCCCCUGUCAAACUGUCUUUCAACGUGUCAGUGCCGUGUUGCAUCCCCAGCAGAAAUGAAUGAGAGUUUCUGUUGUUCCACACCGCCUGUAGCAUUUGCGGUGUUCUGAUUUGGGCUAGUCUCUGCGUAUGUAGGCACGUGGUGGUAUCUCACUGUCAAUGUGCAUUUCCCCAGUGACUUAGGACGUUGAGCGCCUCUUCAUUUGCUUACUUAUCGUCGGUAGAUCUUCUUUGGUGAGGCGACUCUUCAUAUAUUUUGCCCAUCUUUUAAUUGGGUUGUUUCUUAGAGUUAAGGUUUAAGAGUUAUUUAUAUAUUUUGAAUAAAAGUCCUAUAUGAGAUACGUGUUCUGCCAAUAUUUUCUUCCCCAUCUGUGGCUUGCCUUUUCAUUCUCUUAACGGGGUCUUCUGCAGAGGAAUUUUUGGCUUUGAUGAAGUACACCCUAUCAAUUUUUUCUCUCAGUGUAGCAUGAUUUUGAGGUUUUAUCUAAAAAAAAAUCAUCAAACCCAAAGUCAUCUAGAUUUUCUUUUCCAGAAGUUCUAUAGUUUUGCCGUACUGGCUCUUCUGGGCUGUUUGCCUCUCCAUCCAACUUCUGAAUCACUU
Prionailurus viverrinus (fishing cat) is the source of this 4215-nucleotide long non-coding RNA. RefSeq lists it as uncharacterized. NCBI's taxonomy places the organism in Eukaryota, Metazoa, Chordata, Mammalia, Carnivora, Felidae. The record is from RefSeq and is a predicted model, not a curated record. The transcript is spliced from 4 exons.